This 694-nucleotide ribosomal RNA is filed under the name uncultured bacterium. Its description in RNAcentral is "bacterial SSU rRNA". It matches the Rfam family "Bacterial small subunit ribosomal RNA", at positions 32 to 715 of the family's 1533-position model. The record is from RNAcentral.
AACGCUAGCUACAGGCUUAACACAUGCAAGUCGAGGGGCAGCAUGAUUGAAGCUUGCUUCAAUUGAUGGCGACCGGCGCACGGGUGAAUAACACGUAUCCAACCUUCCGUACACUCAGGGAUAGCCUUUCGAAAGAAAGAUUAAUACCUGAUGGUAUCUUAAGCACACAUGUAAUUAAGAUUAAAGAUUUAUCGGUGUACGAUGGGGAUGCGUUCCAUUAGGUAGUAGGCGGGGUAACGGCCCACCUAGCCUACGAUGGAUAGGGGUUCUGAGAGGAAGGUCCCCCACAUUGGAACUGAGACACGGUCCAAACUCCUACGGGAGGCAGCAGUGAGGAAUAUUGGUCAAUGGGCGCGAGCCUGAACCAGCCAAGUAGCGUGAAGGAUGAAGGUCCUACGGAUUGUAAACUUCUUUUAUAAGGGAAUAAAGUCACCUACGUGUAGGUGUUUGUAUGUACCUUAUGAAUAAGCAUCGGCUAACUCCGUGCCAGCAGCCGCGGUAAUACGGAGGAUGCGAGCGUUAUCCGGAUUUAUUGGGUUUAAAGGGAGCGUAGACGGGUCGUUAAGUCAGCUGUGAAAGUUUGAGGCUCAACCUUAAAAUUGCAGUUGAUACUGGCGUCCUUGAGUACGGUUGAGGCAGGCGGAAUUCGUGGUGUAGCGGUGAAAUGCUUAGAUAUCACGAAGAACUCCGAUUG